Long non-coding RNA from Dromaius novaehollandiae (emu), 13447 nucleotides. RefSeq lists it as uncharacterized. The transcript has 6 exons. The record is from RefSeq and is a predicted model, not a curated record. NCBI's taxonomy places the organism in Eukaryota, Metazoa, Chordata, Aves, Casuariiformes, Dromaiidae.
AUCAUCCUAACACAAACACAUACAUACUCAUGCCCACACACCUACACUUCACGCAUUAAAUAUAUAUAGAAAUCACUGUUUUUCUCUGCAGAGAGCCUUCGCCUGCGCCGCAGACACUUCAAAGGCUUCAAAGCAGGGACGCCUGCAGCGAGGGCUGAAGCUGCGCGCACAAGUGCUGGCUGCAGCUGACACCAGAGGUUUCCGGAUCUUAGGGCAUGGAAGAUUUUUCAUGCGUUUUAAAUUAAUUUAAUUGGAAAAAAAAAUCGAAGGAGAAAUAGCUUCAGAUUCGUUUUUGAAGGGGUUUUUUUUUCUUUUUUCUUUUUUUUUAACUUGAAAACGCCAAUUUGAGAUUAAAUAUGCCUUUAAAUGACUUUUUAAAUGAAAACAUACUUGGUGUUUAAAAAGGGACUGCAGAGGCUUCCUCUUUGCAGCCUUUUCGAGGAGGCAGGACCCUUAGCAGCGAUCACACGGACGAGAGCCGAGCUGCACCCGGGGCCAGGCAGCGCCGGGACGGCGGCAGCGGGAGAUGCCCGGGCGCUGCGGGAUGCACCGGCACCGACGCCGGCUCUCACUUGGCCCUGCUCCCCGGCUCGGAUGCAUCAACUCUGCAGGCCAAAUCUUCAACUGGAGUAAAUCGGCGUCAUGCCAGGAACGCACUGAUUCACGUACUGAGAGCAGCGGCCGAUACCACUGGGCAGUGGCUCCCCAGCAGCCCGGACGGCAGCACUGGCUGUAAUAAAGCUGGAAAACUUCAUAUUUUGGAAUGGUGGCGUUAUCCUUUGCAAAUCCUACCGACCUGCAGGAAUUCCUCCCUUGGGGAAGCAGGGCUGCUGCCAGAAGCACUGCUGCCGAGCCGGCGUGCCGGGACCUCGGGCAGCAGAGCCCCACGCCGGAGCCCCUGUCGUCUAGAAACUGAUUCACCGAAGGCUUGGUGCGGCCGUCUCGUCAAUACGAGAGACGUGCAGAUAGGUUUGGUCUCCUAAAAGCAAAUCCACCUUACGCGUCUCCUCUUGCUCCCUUUGUGUCCUUGGUUAGGUAUCAAUUUGCUCCGAGUUUAUGCUGGCAAUAAAUCAUCACCUAGGCGCUGUCUGACGCUGGCUUAUCGGCUUUGGCUGGAGAACAGCCAGAAAGGCAGGUAUAGCCCAGGCGCUACCGAUUCCCUUGCUUGGUCACCUCCUGCAUUCUCUGUUUUCUUCAAAAAAGAGUAAAUGCACACGUAGCUCAUGCGUCUCACACACCCAACCGGCCGGGCCCUGGGAGAGGCCAAGGAGAAUUCGGCAACCGCCUUCCCGCGGGGGCAGAGCCGGAGGGAGCCUGGGGCCGGAGCCGGGUCGGAGAGUCGAGGCUGCCGCGGCCGAGACGGGUCUUGUGCCUUUCCUCGCAUGCCUGCGGCUCUGACCUGAAUUAAAUGCCAAAGCAAAACUCAGGGCAAAAGCUGAAUCACUCAUUUAAUUUAGCAGUGAAAUCACAGCAAAGCACUACAGUGCUACCUGGCGAAGGAUGCAGUGAUUUCUAAUUAUGGAUUACACAGCUAAUCAGUACCAAUCAACAUUUUAUGAUCUCGACUUAAUAUUUAAUAUAAUGUUAAUUAUAAUUGCUUUUGACAUAAACUGUGUCAAAUACUAGGUAGGAUUUUGCCUCCCAGCGUGGGCCGAGCCGGGGUGCGGGCUGCUGCGGGCAGGGUCUGUGCGGCGCCGGACCGGGGGCUGCCGCGAGCGGGAGCAUCGCGCCCCAAAAUCCUGCCCGGCAGCGCGAACCCGCCGCCCGCUCCCCUUCCUGCUCGAGACGGCCUGGAGUCGUGACGCUAAUUAAGUGGCGAACUGUUGGCCUGGACAGAUGCAGAGCUCUGACCAUCCCCAGUGACCAUUCACUUCAUGAUUUUUUCAGCAUCCUGGAGAGAGAGGUAUCAGGAGGGGUCUUGCUUCCUCCAAAUAUUUUGCAGCAAAGAGUUUAAGCAAAAUACAUCACCUCCAAAAACCCCUUCUGGCUUUGAACUUUUCACUGCCCUUCUGGAUAAAUCAGAAGACACUUCUGCACUUCAGGGUCUCUGAUUAAAAACAGAGAAUAAGGAAAACUGAGCAGGACAUCUUGUAGCUGGCAGUGCUCGGACACAAGGGACAUCAUUGUUUUUAAAAACAGUCUAUUUUUCUUGCAUACUACUUAAUCAAGGCAGUUUGUACUUUAAACUCAUCCUCUUUUAACAUGAAGCUCGUCUGAAAUAGAAAACUGAAGGUCUGCAAGAGUGAAAUCCCGUAACAUGAUUUAAGAUGACAUUUCAGCUUUCCCAGACGUUGGAGGCAUUUAAGCCCUGCUAACACAUUGGUGUCUCCAGCCAUCGCCUCGCUUGGCCAGUUCCAGCAAUUUUGGCCUCCUUACCGACAAACCGACCUACCGCUCACGUCUUUGGAGCACUGGGCUCAUUACAAACAUAACGAAUGCCGGCAAGUGAAAUGCUCCUGUAUCAUGAAUCCCAGCCCGGACUGCGCAAACUGGCUGCAGGGAGACGCGGCGCCGAGCUCUGCCUCUGAAAUACGCUCUCCUCUCUACCAUGUGAUGGUCAGCCUUAAAGCCAAGCACCAGGAGAUGUAUUUGGGGAUCUGUCUUUCAGAAACAGGUGCUCCCUGGGCUGCCAACGAAAGUUGUCAGGGCCUGUGAAAUCAGGCUACUGUAUCUGGAGUUGAAGGGCGAACAGGGGGACUCGUGCCACCUCCCCACUCCCUGCGACCGCGGUGGGGACGGAUGGGCAAUGCCGAGCCGGCACCUGAGGCCAGCUGCUCCAGAUAGCAGUCGUCUCCACGGGUUAUGGGAGAGAGCUAAAUACAGCUAAUAUGCCUUUAAUAUGGGCAGCAGGAAUACGCCGUUAUUGCACCCAGGAGCGCAGAGCCACCAAAAUCAACGGCAAUGUUCUUCAUGCCUAAAGUCAGCCCAGAAGAGGUCCUGCCACAUUCCGGCGUGAGCUCCCAGCCAGCGAAGUCAGUUAUAUUUUGCAACAGCAAAAUUUCUGCUGCUUCAGGGAUUCAGACCUGGAAGGACUUAUACAACGUGGGGUGGGAAGGAUGGUGGAGCCCAAAAUUCAUCCCCUUCCCCUCAGGCAGGUAUUGAGCUGCUGCAAGUGAGUGGGGACAAACCAGCAUCUGCAGGAGCAGUUCCUACCUGGCGGGGCCAAGGGGAGCCCGGGAGGUUUUUCCAUCUAUUAUUAUAGGGGAAACCUGGCAGGACCUGGCCCUGCUCGAACGCUGGUGUGGGACACCGGAGCACUGCUGUCCAAGCGGUGAGCAGCUGCUGCGGAAAAAGGACCCCGACCACAGCCCUGCUGGGAAAGGGGCUCAUGUCAUCUCAAAAUGCAAUCAGCUUGCAAGAAGAAAAACUCAAAUUUUUACUUGAUGUAAAUUUUUGGAGGACUUUUUUGAGGUCCAAGAAAUCACCAGUGUGAACGAAACCAAAGUAUGACUCAAGCAGUUUAAAGAAACUUUCACCAAAAAGGAUCAGAACAGGAGCAUUUCAAAUAGGAAAUGUAAGGCUCUUCUGCACUUCAUAUCCAACCUCUUAGGACCUGUUGUGGUACAACAGCCAGGAUGGCAAGAACCACAUCAGUGUGUAGGCUACAGGCUCAGCCAUCUACAGAAAGAAACCCAGCCUCAGCCGUGGAGCCAGUCCAGGUCCUACAAGAUUAAUUACACUUUCAUCUCAAUACAGUAAGAUCUGAAUGCUUCCAGAUCGUGCGUGCGAAGUUUAAUAAAAAUGCCCUAAGGAGAUGCAGGUUUUCAUGGCUGAAAGACUUGUAUUGAACUUUUUAGGAUAUUUGCACUAAUGUCCUGUCUAAUAAUGCUAUAAAGAUGAGAGAAAAGGCAAGUGUUCAAGAGAUAUAUAAUCUGUAUCUCACAGAACACAUGCACAACUAAAAGCAGAAAUUUUGCCCGCUUCCUGGAUCUGUUAUAAAUGGACACGUUCUGCACAGCCUUGGUGGCACUUUAAAUUCAGCUAUAGCUUUCCGCACCCUUCUGCUGCAUAAAAUCCCUCAUGCCUGUUACAGCCUCCUUGAAGCCUGUGUUUCAAUUCAUUACCAGCAGAGCUGAAUGAACAAGUUGAAGUGAAUAAUUCAUCCAACGAAUUUCACCUCUUUUUCAGUACACAAUUUCCUUUGAUGGAUUCAUUAUUCAUAAUUAUUUGCUGAAUAGCUUUGGUAAAUAAUUCUCUGGCUGUAGAUGGAUGUUGAGAAUUUUGUUGCAAUUGUUUAAUAGUCAAAAUUUAAGCUCUGCCCAGUAAGUGCAGUUGGUUACAUGAGUCAUGUUGGUGUUUUUUCCCUUCUCUUCUCCAAGCAGAUGAGUGACACUGGUUAACUCUGGUUUCUGUUGUGACCAUUUCAUUUACGCAAGUGACACUUUCUAAUUUGGGACCAUCCAAAAUCUUCUUCAUAGGCCCUAGAGACAUGAGCUUUUGGUCUGUAUUUUAAAAAGCAAAGCCCAAGCAAACCCGGAGAGUAUCAUGAGACAGUUAAUCCUGUGUCGGGCGAAUUCAUUAUAUUCUGGAUGCUCGGUAGGAAUAGCAGGGUACGGGGCUGGUCCAGACGCCGGAUUCACAGUGGAGGGCGGCUCCAGUGACACCGCAGCACCCAGGGUGUGGGAAGGACUGUUUUUCGCAGCCAAAGGGACUCUUUUCAGCCCGAUUCUGCGGUGCGGUGACCCGGCCAGGGCCGGAGGACAUGGGUUCCUCACUCAUCCCUGUCACAGAUGUGUUGUGGACUUGGUCUCGCUGAACACCUCCUGCCUCAGUCUUGGGCCUCUGUUGGUCUCCAGCGAGGCCGCGGGUUGCCAACCUGCUCCGACUCCCACGGCGGCUGGGACGGUGCAGCUCCAGCCUCCGGUUCUGCACCUCCCGAAUGGCAACGAAGGCGAGCGCCGACCAAACUCGAGCAGCCUCUUUAAGUCCCUGACGCUGCCUAGACGACAUAGCAAGAAAGUUCCUUUUCUUCCUGGGACGUAUAAGCUACGAGUGGCAGAAUCUGGCCUUACCUGUGUGGGCUUUCGAAAAGCAGAUGUAGCCGGUUCAUCACCUGCCUUUUUACGACAGGGUAGGGAAACGCAGCGGAGAGUUUUACCGUGAUAGCUGCGCUCUUCGACUGGAGUAGGCAGUUCAUCUCAGCAUCUUUAAUGGCCUUACCUAUUUGCUGAAAAUACGCAAUCAGUGCAAAUGGCUAAUGAGCAUCCUAUGCAAACAGCCGAGUGCCUCUUUCCAUACAUCACCCCGCAAAUAACCCUGCUACGAGGAAGGCAUCCUCAUAGCCCAAGCGUAAUCAAUAGGCGGAAGCUGUUUCAAUGGGAAGGUUUCCACUUAUUUAUUUAUUUGUGCGGCGUGAGAAAUGAAGGGGAAUAUUAUAGGAAUAAACAAGAGACUUCUCAGAAAUCUCUAUGCAGGCGGCCACACUCACGCACAGACACGCGCGCAUAGCUAAUGUGAAAUGCCAGAGUCAGAGGAGACCACCAACCUUAAAGCUACAUUUUUGCCACAUUUCCGUCGCGCCGGUGCCGGAGCUAAUGUGCAGUGCACAUGAUAAGAGGCGGCUGUGUAGUAUGCCAUCAGUGCUACCUAAAAGCAAAUGAAACUGGCAUAAAUAAUUGUGCUGUAGAAAGCCUUUCUGUUGCACCUUGCCUAUCACUGACAAUUUACAUAUCUUAGGAAAACCUUUGUCAGCUUCUGUCAUUUCUGCACUAUUAUGUGCCUUUCUGGAUAAUUACCAGUUAAUGUGAAAAAGCAGAUGGAAAAAACCUUGAAAUUUCUGAUAGAGAAUCCUCAAACCUCUCCCCUUAUCUGUGCACAGCAGCUUCCUGAUUUCAAAAGAAGUUUGAAAACCUUUGUUAAAAAUGUCCCUGAUUCCCAGUUUGAAUGAACCAAAUGACAUUCAGCUAAAAUUAUUCAGCUUUUUCCACAAUUAAAUUCCAUUAUCGUGAACUGCCAAAGUAAAAUGGAAGGUCUCUUAACUAAUGUGUCGGUUGUUUGCUUGUAUUUUUCGUGGUGUGUAUUGUAUAAAGCUGUGUGAAGUAGACGGAGGAUAAACAAUAACUGUAAUUUUGCAUCAAUGAGUGGGGCAUUUUUAGACCCUUCAUUAUGGGAAUGCAUUGGUGUUGGUGGCUUUUCUUUUUUCCUUUUUUUUUUCUUUUUUGUUAAUUCCUUUCCCUGAAAAACCCCACUGAGACCGAUUUGAUAUUUCACCAAACUUAAGGAGCAGUGGGUAGUGACAGUUCGGUUUUUAGUCCUCUAAAUGAUUUCUUUAUGCAGCCUCUGCAUAGCAUGAGUGCUUGGAGUUGGGCAACUGCAAACACUUUCCCUCUGCCUUUAACGAAGAGGCAGCAAUAGGAGUACACAGGAGAAUUAAUUUAAUUUAAAAACAUUGUUCACACAGGCAGUCUGUUUUCUUGGUUGGCUUUUUCCCCCUUUCUUCGAGCUGGUUUGAAAUGGAAGUUGCCUGUAGUAGAGAGGGCGCAGCUGAUCUGCCCAUGCGCAGAGUGGAGCAAAGCACCCCUCCCACGGGACAAAAGCUCCUGAACAUGGACAACACAGGGAUUCGCAGGGCCGUUCUUGGUAUGAAAUGUGUUUAUCAGGUUGGUGGUCUCAAGGUGAGUUUUGCAAAGCAUUUCCUUAGUCCAACGCUAUCAGCAACAAGUUCUUCUCUGGGAAAACUGCAGGAUUUCCAUGAUUCACAUGUACCCAACAUUUGUUCUCUUUGCGCCGUGGUCUCUGGCUUUGGUGGGCUCUUGGGGUGAACAAGCGCUUGGGAAGGCGCUGGGCUGAGCCGGUCCCACGCGAUGCUGCAGAAGUCUCUCCCUUAGAGAGCCGGGUGUCCUCGAGAGCUCGGGAACGGCCACAGGGAGAAGCAGAGGACGUGUGCUGGGCUUGGGAGGGGAGAGACCAGCGCGAGGACCUGGUAACCUGGCAGGAGAACAGUGCUGGAGAAGGCAAGAGCAACUGAGAAAGCAAAAAGCAAUAAAGAUACAAGGGUAGACGCUUUUCUGCUGAGGCACCUGGUCUGAUGCACAACAGUAACAUUACACUAGGACCAAGGAACAACAUGUCCGUAGAGCACAGAGAGUUUCUCAUUUGUACCAAUUUCACCAGAGCACACGAGCAUGUGUAUGGCAACUUAGAAAAAGCUUUUUUGCUUUAGAUACUACAAAGAAUGGAGGUAAGGAAGUGUUAGUGAGGAGCAUUAUAACAAGAGAUAAAGCAGUCUGCUAUCGUGAGGGUCUAUCACAGAGCCGUGCAAAGGCGGUACAGUGUAUGACUGUCCCGCUGGUUUCUGUUGGUGGUGUUUCUCUUCCUGAUUGGCAUUUAGAGUCUACAUCCCCACAGAAUGACAUUUCGGCUGCUGAUUAAAAUCAUUGUCUUUUAUGGUGGAGAAAGUUUGUUCUUCAAAGUGAAGAAGAUUAAAAAAAAUGCUGCUGCAAACAGUGAUGAAAAACAGAUGAAUAAAAACAACCAAAAAACGUUUUAAAUCCAUUAUUUUCAAUUAGCUCUUUAAUUUGAUUUGUCAUUUGCACUUGUUGUUUUACGUCUCUUAUUGUCCAGCAUUUUAUUUCACACAUCUAACAGUAUUAAAUCAGACUGUUUUCUAGUCUUUGCUUUCUUUUGAAGCCUCUUGAAAGCCUAAAGCAGACUUAAAAAAACAGAUAUUAAAAGCUAACUUUCAUCUCGAUGCAGGUUAUUUGUAAUCAGACCUUACACAUCAAGGGCUCAUUUCGUAUGUGUUUGGCGUUCUGGAAUUAUUAAAACUGCAAAUCCAUCUUAUUCAAAAUAUUGACCAGGUUUUAGUGUUUUGAAACUUCAGCAUUACACUUGACUUCAUCAGCAGGUACAAGAGAUGUGGUGUUCUUGAUUGCGGACACUUAUAUUUAGUAAUGGUGCAAUAAGUCUACGUGGGCUUUUGUUUACAAGAUACAGUAUUCAUGUUGCAGACUUGUAUUUUUUCACCGGUAAGCUCCGAAUGGCUAGUGGCUUAUGCUGAGCAUUGGGAUAUAAAAUAAUCUAUUACUAAAGGAACAAUAUUGCUUCCGCACUGUGAAUUAACAAACCUUGCUGUGUAUCUUUGGAGAAACGAAUCACGCUCCACAGCUGAGUUACUUUCUCAUCUAAAUUGGAAGUUAACUAUCAGGAUAUAACCAGGAACAGUUUUACAAGUCACUAGGUUAGCAUCUCAACUGGCUUUAAUUCUCAAAGUCUCAGAGGAAAACACAUGGGCAGCCAUGAGUCAUGUUGACAGAGAGCAGAUGCACUUACUCUGUUACCUUUUAGUGCCUAUUUAAACAGGACAAACACAUCUGUAUCAUGUUAUUGACAUGUUUACACAUGUUGAAGUCCAUCACUGAAUCUGGGCCUGCCUCCAAACUCAGCUCCAUUGGCUUCUUUCAUGUUACUCCCACGUUGACACUAAGAUGAGGACAUAAAUCAGGCUUUUUCUCUCAUUCUCCUUUAUGCACUCAGCAAAGUAUUUCAGCCACCCACCAGAAAAGCAUCUUCUUUCAGAUUUACAGUAGCAUCUGGCCAGCUUCCUCUUGACAUCCCUUCUGUAGGCCAUUUGAUCAUCUGCUUCUUCAAAAGAAUGUACAGCUAAUGCCCAUUAUCAUGUAGACCCCUUAAUACCACCGUUGUCUUGUGAAGGAGCCUUAACAGGGCAUGGAGGGGCUCACUUCUAGGUUAAGACAUUGUUAUACUCUCUGAAUAGUUCAAAAGUGCCUUAGUUUAAAAGAGGGUCAGGCCCUUUAUUUUCUUCAGCUCUUCCCUUGCCUUUAAUUUCUGCCAUCUUCUUCUCCCUUUUAUCCUCCUCGCUGUUCUCAGCUGCAUGCUUAUUACCUCCUCGGUAUUUGAAUAUUCUCACUUACUGCGCACAAUAGCAUGACUGGUUUUCAGAGCCGGUGUUUGUUUAUUGAGGUUUUGGCUGAUUAAUGCCUUCUUUGAACCUCCGAGCCUCACAGCAACGCUGAUCCCCGUCUCUCAACCUUUUGUUGUCCCUUAAAGAGCUCUAAAAGUUUGUUUUUUUUACCAACAUUCCCAUUUUUUCAUCCAAAAAUGCGCAACAAAGGACGAAAAAGUUCCAGUUCGCAUUUUCUAUUUCUAUGCCUUUUCAUGGCAUUUGGUGUUAGCCGUAGCACAAAGCAGGCCUGACAGUAAGUGUCACCUCUGGCCUCAAAUAUCCAUGGUGCAUUUUUCCUUGCUGUAAUAUUGCCCAUGUGCCAUCCCGAGUGUCUCGGCUGGCCUGCGAAGCCGGCUCCACUCUUGCUGCCGGGGUUGCUCCAGCUACUCGCAGCCUUCUCCCGCGGCGGCUCGGAUGGGGCCCGAGCGUCAGCACUGAGAAAAGGCAGCUUGUGAAACCCAGCACGUUUCCAUGAAAUGGAGCUUUAACUAUUUUUCCACUUCAGCUAUGCCCUAAAUUCAUACCAUACUAGACAGUGGUCAGAAGUUUGCAUCAUUUGGUCUUCAUGAAAAAUUAUUCAAGCAUUUUUGUAAGUGAGUGGUUAGGAGCAGGAGGGAAGAGAGACCAGGGUUUUCCUAUGAGGUAGAGACCCACCUCAGCUUAUUUGUCUGAACUUGAAGUUUGUCCUGGAUGCUCACGACAAAAGUUGCCAUACCCAUUUCCCACUAUUUCACCCAUCCGGACUGCCUCAGCAGACGUUUUCCACUGCAGGGCUCUACACAGGUGCCUGCUGGCUAAUCCACGCUACGAGGAGUUGGUGGCAGCUCUUGGGUCGGUGAUUUGUGCACAUGCAGCAGCAGUUUGCCUGAGCUCUUUUCUUGGAUGUGUGUGGUUCAACCCUACAGUGGCAUGUGAGUUAUAAGGGGAAAGAGGCAUAUGUAUUUAGGUCUGGAUUUUUCACAAGGGAAGUGUCUCUUUUUAAGUUCAAUUGUCCCUUGAAAACUAUACAUCUGGAGUUUUGCACCUGCAACCAAAAACCUCCGGGGUAUUCUAUAUCUGAAAAAUCAUUUGGCAGACAUCAAAAUGAAAGUGUGUAUUUUGUGGGUUACAGAAAGGAAGAUUUAAAAAAAAAAUUAAUGUAGGAGGGUUAAGCAAAGCUCAGAAUACUCUCUCUGUGGGAGAGGGGAAAGUUUCCUUUUAUAACUGAGAAUUUGCUGAAAUAAAGUUUGUCAUUAUAAUUGGCUCUAUGUUCCUAUCUGAAGAACACAUGAAGAGAUUUACCUUCAAUAAUUAUUGAUAAUAGUGUUUUGACUCUGAGUCAGAAUAGGAGCCUGACCUUUGGGAAGAAGAAGCAGCAAGUCACCAAGCUUAAAUAAUGUCAGUGACAAGCACAGAAAGUGUUGAGUUACUUUUUCCCUUUCAGAAUUAAAAGGCUUAUCAAAAGAGCCUUUAUUCACAUACAGACUAGAGGUCCCUCUGCCACAGUUGUUUUAAAUAUAGUCCUAAUAGUCAUGUAAGAUGGCAUUAAAAUAACAGCUUUAAUGAAGUUGAUUGCCUUCCUCAUUACAAUUUUCUGUUAAAAUCUUCUGCUUCCCAAGUGUGACUCUCUUUGCCUGUCUUCAUCUACAGUUCAAAUCAAAAUAGCCUCAGCCAUUUACAUGCUUCUUCCACUCAGUAAGUUACUAAGUUUAUCUGUACACUUCAGAUAUCAGCAAAUACAUUCUUAAACCUGAACACUGUCAUGAGACUCUCAAGAGGAGUAUGUCAAAAACCCUCACCACAGUCUUCCUUUUGGCUUAGGAAUGCUGUAGGGUUUGGGAAACUCCAAGAGUUCUGCAGUGCUGGGGAUUGACAUAGCAAUUAAAAGAAGAGCCAGGAAGCCAAGAGCACAAACAUCUCACCAUGGCCAUCGAGUCAAGGUCAGGGUCAUCAGGAGAGACCUGAAGGAGACGACAGCAGAAGUGUUGCAGGAGUUCGCGGUUGAGUCCUGCUGCUUUUAAUCAGCAAGGGCCCCAGCUGUGACCCCCAGAGCAGUGGGGUUCACCACCGUCCCCGGCUUACAGUGUUAGUAAGGAUGACCUGGCCAUUUUGAAUGCAUAUCUCAGUGACAAAAACCUCUCAGCCACUAGCCCCUUUCUCGCCUUUUCUCUCUACCCCUUUACACAUUAAAAAAAAAAAAAUUAUCAACUAGCAUCUGUAAGUCAUGGUGGUUUGCAAAGCGGAAGCCCUUCAAGGCUAUCAGUAAUGUCUGGCUAGCUGGAGAUACAGCAUUUUCAAAAUUAUUAUGCCACCCUUUACCAAAUGUAAAACUGAAGCAAAUUUGCAUGCAAACACAAAUGAAGAUUGAAUGCACAGUUUUAUUAGUCUUCAGCAUAAAUUGAUUCUGUUAUUCUUCUCUGGAAACCCUCAGCAGCUUAAAGACGUUCAUGUUGACUGUCUGACCCUAAGAAUUCAUGCUGCGUUCCAGGACAUUAUUACUAUUAUUAAGAUUGAUUUUUAAAGUACUAAGUAAAGUACUAAGUAACGCACAUGGGAAGUGCCAAGAUUAGCAUCUGCAGGAGUUAGUCAGCCUUCUGUAUCAUCAUAUUUUACCAAAAUACCCACAAUGCUCUUUAAACACUUCAAGUUUUUACCACUUUGAUACAUCAAUACCAGAAGGUAGAGUGAGGCAAAACCAUUUAUGUACUGCCCCUGUACAAGCAUGGCAAAUUACUAGCCUUAAAAAUACAAUGACUCUUCCUUAAUAAAUCAGCACUGGGAUUCAUGUUUGUGAGCACUUGCAAAUAAGAAAGUUUUCAGCAGAGUCUGGAAAUUUUCCAGUUUUAAAUGAUGCCACUUAGUGUCUAAUUAUCUGCCAAGAAAGUUUCAGGCAUGUCAUAAACGUAACUGUGCUGCGCUGCACACAUCCAGCUGCGAAGCCCGGUCUGCCAGGCUUGGGGAUGGGGUGGGUGAUCUUGGGAACGUCAGGCACCAAGUUUCACUUUGACACAAGCAUCCAAAAAUUCUACUUCACCGCUGAAGUUAAACUCACUCUGAGUACGUACUUUUCUCCUCUGCCGUUUUUUGUUGAAGGCGGUAGCCCACCCGGAGUGGUGGCCCUGGUGGACAUCCCUCCUGCAACCCUCCGGCACAAAGAAGAAUCCUUUCAAAGGCAAGACAGCCUUAUCGCAAAGGGACCAUGCAGCCUUUGAUCUCCCCUGAGCAGUAACAAAUCAGGCAGUGUUUGCUCUCCUGAAUGCCUCCAUAAAUACUACCUCUCUCCAAAUAGAAAAAGCCUGAAUAGAUGCAAGACUUGGGCCUUGUAAGAAAUGUUUUUCCCCUCUGGGUUGUCAGCCUUAAGGAUGUCUUUGAGCAACUUCAGCUGGCACUCUAAGAUGAAGAAAGUGCAUCAAUUGUGUAUCUAUAUUGUUGAAUUUUCAGUUUGCCAGCAAAUACUCAACUCUGCAGAGCAAAGGCUUUUAAUUCAUGUGGGCAGCUACUUGUACAACCUCUAAGCUGUCCCUAUCCCUCUUUCAUAUUGCUCCUUUUCUGCCCUGUGUCUUGCAUCCCUAGACCUGUUUGGCCCUGACCACUCUGGCUGGAGCAGGAGGAAAGUCCAUCGCCUCUGUCAGCACAGGGCAUUGGGGGGUCAGGAGCUGGUGGGGGACGAGGGGCUGCCUUUGCUUCGGGUGCCACCACCUGGCCUGUGGAAUCAUCCUGAACACGGCUCUCGUAAUGCUGGAGUUACAAAAUGACUGAAAGAAAAGGUGAUGGUCAGAAUCAGUCUCCCCCCUACAAGCAUAUUUAUCCAUGUCCAUCCUAAGAUGACCCACAGGAUAGCUUGCUCCUAGGUGUCCUGUUGCUUUUUCACAUGUCCCUUAAAUUUUCAUCUUGGAAAGCUCCAAAAUAAUGGAGUAAGAAAUCAGAGCAAAAGCUGCAAGGCCGCCUGCUUUUUCCAAUAGCUAUUGUUGAUGUUAUUGUUAAACAUACAGUAAUCAGGGGCUUUGGAUGGGAAGGGAGUGUUUUCUUUCAAAUAAUCUGGAAGGUUAAGGUAUCACUCAUGGUAUAACCCAUCUGCUGUACUGCCAGGCAGAGCGCACAGACAGAAAGCUGGGAAAGUCACGUCAUCAGCGCAGCGGUGCCUGCAGAGAGCCGUGCUGGGCGAGAGCAAGGUCCCAAGGUCCCAGCCACGCUCGGCGAUGGCACUUGCAGCAGGGCAGAAUCUCAAGGAGCCAGCGAGAGCAGAACUGGGUAUUUGACCUGUGAGGACUGGUUUGGCAACUGUACAAGCCAUCGCGCUGCUGCAAAGGAAGCGGAAAUUGUGCAGUGUCACAGUGGGUUCACUGGAGUUAAUUCCAACACAAGCAAAGCAUAGACGUUACCUUCUCCCAAGACAUCUCCAGUCCUUCUGUUUCAUUACAGCUCCAUCUAUAAAAAGGACCCUGAUUAAAAAUGUGGCCUGUUGUUUGAUGAACCAGGAAUCCAUACUUCCUGUAAUUUUCCUUCCUUCAUCCUCUUUCUCUGUGUUUAUAUGUCAUAUUCAGUAAAGUCUCUUUUAUUGAA